UGGGGAAUCUUCCGCAAUGGACGAAAGUCUGACGGAGCAACGCCGCGUGAGUGAUGACGGCCUUCGGGUUGUAAAGCUCUGUUAAUCGGGACGAAUGGUUCUUGUGCGAAUAGUGCGAGGAUUUGACGGUACCGGAAUAGAAAGCCACGGCUAACUACGUGCCAGCAGCCGCGGUAAUACGUAGGUGGCAAGCGUUGUCCGGAAUUAUUGGGCGUAAAGCGCGCGCAGGCGGAUCAGUUAGUCUGUCUUAAAAGUUCGGGGCUUAACCCCGUGAUGGGAUGGAAACUGCUGAUCUAGAGUAUCGGAGAGGAAAGUGGAAUUCCUAGUGUAGCGGUGAAAUGCGUAGAUAUUAGGAAGAACACCAGUGGCGAAGGCGACUUUCUGGACGAAAACUGACGCUGAGGCGCGAAAGCCAGGGGAGCGAACG
RNAcentral lists this ribosomal RNA (427 nucleotides) under uncultured Veillonella sp. RNAcentral's name for it is "bacterial SSU rRNA". It matches the Rfam family "Bacterial small subunit ribosomal RNA", at positions 355 to 774 of the family's 1533-position model. Lineage: Bacteria; Bacillati; Bacillota; Negativicutes; Veillonellales; Veillonellaceae. The record is from RNAcentral.